CCUACGGGUGGCAGCAGUGAGGAAUAUUGGUCAAUGGGCUUACGACUGAACCAGCCAAGUCGCGUGAGGGAAGACUGCCCUAUGGGUUGUAAACCUCUUUUGUCAGGGAGCAACGCCGGCUACGUGUAGCCGGACUGAGAGUACCUGAAGAAAAAGCACCGGCUAAAUCCGUGCCAGCAGCCGCGGUAAUACGGAGGAUGCGAGCGUUCUCCGGAUUUAUUGGGUUUAAAGGGUGCGUAGGCGGAAUGCCAAGUCAGCGGUAAAAGCGCGGGGCUCAACCUCGCUCCGCCGUUGAAACUGGCGUUCUUGAGUGGGCGAGAAGUAUGCGGAAUGCGUGGUGUAGCGGUGAAAUGCAUAGAUAUCACGCAGAACUCCGAUUGCGAAGGCAGCAUACCGGCGCCCAACUGACGCUGAAGCACGAAAGCGUGGGUAUCGAACAGGAUUAGAUACCCCUGUAGUC
Molecule: ribosomal RNA, 460 nt
Filed under: uncultured bacterium
Lineage: Bacteria
Description: partial 16S ribosomal RNA
Rfam family: Bacterial small subunit ribosomal RNA
Source: RNAcentral